RNAcentral lists this long non-coding RNA (2205 nucleotides) under Coffea arabica (coffee). RNAcentral describes it as "long non-coding RNA (CARA_LNC005676)". The record is from RNAcentral. Lineage: Eukaryota; Viridiplantae; Streptophyta; Magnoliopsida; Gentianales; Rubiaceae.
UACAACUAGCCCGUGCCAAGCACUAGGGCGAGAACCAUUACAAAAGAAACAAAAGACCUAGACUAGGCUAGUCUAUACUCUCAUCCUGCUCGCCGUCCCCUGUUAAGGAAAACAAAACUAAAGGGGUGAGCUAAAAGCUCAGUGAGGUUCCAAACAGAUAAUCAAACAAUCAAACAAUCAAUUCAAUACAUUAAACAUGGAGUAUCAAUAAUUCAAGAAACAUUUACAAUGGAAAGCAAUAGUAACAUUCAUUAAAAGGAUACGGCUCACAAGGAGCAAUUCGUUCAUUCGUUCAUUCGUUCUCCUGACAUUUCCCCUUAUUCCUCCAAUCAUUUGAAAAUGCAUUUUUCGUUUAUCAAUAAACCCUCGUUCGUUCGUUCGUUCAUUCAUUCAUUCACCCCCGUCCUGGCCGUUGGCCAGUCUCCACCAACCUACAGGGUAAUACUCGAGUAUACCAAACGUUCACCCAAGUCCCUAAUCGCCCGACCGAGUCCGCUUCUGGCUCGAGACGACCGGUAACAAGGGGCAAUGGCCAGUUCAGCCCAAAAGGCUUACAUUCAUGCGCAAGUAACAUUUCAAUCAUUAAAUCCUUGAAAAUUGCACAGUUAUUUAGGUCGAGUGCGAUAAAGUACACACUCGCCUAGAAAGCUCGUUUUGGAAAUCAUUAAAAGCAAUUAACACAUUAGCAAAUGAUAACAACAAGCCAUAAAGUCAAAUAAGGAACACUCACCUAGAUAUGCAAAAUAACGUGCAAAAUAUCCUUCCGGAUAUUACCCUUAGUCACCAAUGAAACCUAAAGUUGAACAAGAGAACAUAUUACAGUUUAUCGAGCAAAACAUUUAAGGGAAACAAAGAAACCCGACUAAUUAGGAGUAAAACGUGUAAAGAUGACUUUCAAGUAAGAAGAGGGUUGUUUGAACCCCAGGAUGAAAAAUCAUGUUUUAAAAUGGAAAACCGGUCAUGGUAUUGGCCAACCAAAAGUAUACAAGUUCAAAUAGAAACCUAGCCCUCGAGCGAAAAUUUGGGCAGCACGCCCUUUGUGUUUACCUAAUUUUCCAGCCAUUUUGGCUUCAUUAUUUUUUCUCAACCACAACCCAACAUCACACAUAAGCAAUUCAAGUCAAGAGCCGUUCCAUAGGCUCACAAUAUCAUAAGAAUAAGAAUUACAACAAUCACAAGUGCAGAAAUUCAACUUAGCACAAGACAGAUUUGACGUACGAAUGCGGAAAUAACAUAUCUGAAGCUACGCUUAUCGAAUUGAGACGAAAACUAUGCCGUUUCGAAGCUAAGACACAGAGCUACAACAUUCAUGAAGAUCACUUAGUCCAGUUCCUAAUGUAACUUAGUCAAAUUCUCAAAUUACUAAACCAGAAACCAAUUCGUCGGCUGUUUCAACGCAGAACACUGUAAUGGACAUAUCUCAGAGUACACAAGUCCAAAUCAGGUGUUCUUAGAGGCAUUUGAAAGCUAUUUCAGAAUACUACAACUUUCAUGUUUUGCCAAAAAGCUAAAUCAGAAUGGAUCCUAGUCGAAAAACGUGAUAAACUGGACUUAACUGAUCACACGAACUGCUUGGGAAAUACUUAAAACAGUAAGGGUAUUUUGGACUUUUCACGUCCUACGUUACUCCGAUUGAGCUGAAAUUUUGUAGGCACCUAUAAAAUACCAUUCUCUACAACUUUCCUUCUUUGACCUAAGGCCAAAUCAGCCUCUAACAUACAGAUACAAAUUCGGACAGAAAGUUGGGAAAAAUUUUCCAGAUUCUGAAAUUUUUUGUAACCAAUGGAACUUUCUCAAUUUUCUUGUUCUAAUCACUACCAAAACACCUUAUACAACCUUAAUUGCAACAUACAAGCAUCAUACAACAAAUUGGGCAGGAAUUCCUCAAGCCCUAGUUCAUCCUAUAAAAGGGAAAAACCUCCAAAUUCAUCACACCCACUUGCAUAAUCAUGAAAUCAAGCCAAAACUUAAGCUAAAAACACAUCUUAAAGCAAGAUUCAAAGCAACAAAGAUCAUGAUCAAAUGUUGGUACCUCAAAAGCAAGGCUUGGUAGAGUGAUCCUUCACCCCCUUUGAUUUUUUCUUGGUUCCUCAAGCUUCCCAACUCACACUUAGUACUUUAAUCGGUUUACUUUGUUUGAUUUCUCACUUAGUUGUUGGAUUGAAGAAGAAAUGGAGAAGUUUUUCUCUUGUUUUUCCUCUCUCU